Oryza sativa Japonica Group (Japanese rice) is the source of this 578-nucleotide non-coding RNA. NCBI's taxonomy places the organism in Eukaryota, Viridiplantae, Streptophyta, Magnoliopsida, Poales, Poaceae. The record is from RefSeq and is a predicted model, not a curated record.
GCAACAAAAUUCCGCAACCCUUGUCGUCUCCUUCCUCUCGCAUUCCUCCUCCUUACCUUGCCCUAGGUCGAGUCGACGCGACGAGAUUUGCGGCGGCGAUGGCUCUCCCGGCGUCGAGCUCCGGCCUCUUCCGCUUCAUCUCUCCACGGCGCCGCCCCCAGUCCACCGACAUCGCCGCCGCCGCCACCUGGGGCGUCUUCGCCGGCACCGCCGCCAUCUACCUCGUCCAGCCAUUUGACUGGAUUAAGAAAACUUUCUUUGAGAAACCCGAACCAGAGGCAUAAGUCUGCCAGGCAUAUGGAAGGCUGCAACUUUUGAUACAUUUACGUUUCCGGGAUGAUUUCUGAGUGAAGAGAACUUGGAUGACCCUGCAAAUAAUAUAAAAGACAGUCAUGUUCCCUUGUUUGAUUUUAAUGUAGGUUUCUCUUGCAUGUAAACCCCAGGAGGGGAAUGAUGAUUAUAUUGAGUUAUUUCUCAUCUCAGCGAAACCUUUUUCUUGGUUUUUUCUCAUCUCAGCGAAACCUUUUUCUUGGUUUAGCAGUGAUAUAAAUUCGUGGUCCUGAUGAUUGUUUGUCGUA